GGCAGGCUGUCUGAUGCGUCUUAUCCGCAUGUCUAUCCGAGCCAACAGAAUUAUUUUUAGGGAACUGUCCCUGUUUGGAUUGCGAUCUUAAUAUAUGGUUCCCACUUUGACACAAGCGGUUCGAUAAGAAUGAAAGUUAAACGGUCAGACGGCUUGGCU
This 159-nucleotide non-coding RNA is filed under the name Alphaproteobacteria bacterium. Its description in RNAcentral is "6S RNA". It matches the Rfam family "6S / SsrS RNA". From Rfam's summary of the family: E. coli 6S RNA was the first non coding RNA to be sequenced, but its function was unknown until recently. It consists of 184 nucleotides that fold into an extended hairpin structure with a large single-stranded internal bulge. The record is from RNAcentral. Lineage: Bacteria; Pseudomonadati; Pseudomonadota; Alphaproteobacteria.